This 74-nucleotide transfer RNA is filed under the name Flavobacteriales bacterium. Its description in RNAcentral is "tRNA-Asp". It matches the Rfam family "tRNA". Rfam says of the family: Transfer RNA (tRNA) molecules are approximately 80 nucleotides in length. Their secondary structure includes four short double-helical elements and three loops (D, anti-codon, and T loops). The record is from RNAcentral. Lineage: Bacteria; Pseudomonadati; Bacteroidota; Flavobacteriia; Flavobacteriales.
GGUCUGGUAGUUCAGUUGGUUAGAAUAUCUGCCUGUCACGCAGGGGUCGCGGGUUCGAGUCCCGUCCAGACCGC